Molecule: ribosomal RNA, 253 nt
Filed under: uncultured bacterium
Lineage: Bacteria
Description: partial 16S ribosomal RNA
Rfam family: Bacterial small subunit ribosomal RNA
Source: RNAcentral
UACGGGGGGGGCAAGCGUUGUUCGGAUUUACUGGGCGUAAAGGGCGCGUAGGCGGCACCGCAAGUCGACUGUGAAAUCUCCGGGCUUAACUCGGAAAGGUCAGCCGAUACUGCGGGGCUAGAGUGCAGAAGGGGCAACUGGAAUUCUCGGUGUAGCGGUGAAAUGCGUAGAUAUCGAGAGGAACACCUGCGGCGAAGGCGGGUUGCUGGGCUGACACUGACGCUGAUGCGCGAAAGCUAGGGGAGCGAACGGG